GACAGAGGGUGCAAACGUUGCUCGGAAUUACUGGGCGUAAAGCGCGUGUAGGUGGACUGAUAAGUCAGACGUGAAAUCCCCGGGCUCAACCCGGGAACUGCGCUUGAAACUGCCAGUCUUGAGUGUUGGAGAGGAUCGUGGAAUUCCUGGUGUACAGGUGAAAUUGGUAGAUAUCAGGAGGAACACCGGUGGCGAAGGCGGCGAUCUGGACAACAACUGACACUGAGACGCGAAAGCGUGGGGAGCAAACAGG
Molecule: ribosomal RNA, 253 nt
Filed under: uncultured bacterium
Lineage: Bacteria
Description: partial 16S ribosomal RNA
Rfam family: Bacterial small subunit ribosomal RNA
Source: RNAcentral